AUGGUUUGUCACAAAGACGAUAAGAGUCCUUUCGACAAGCAUAAAGUUUUUGUACGAAACAUAAAUGAAAAUGACACAAGUUUAUUAAGUGAACAAUUUGGAGAACUAUGUAAAGAGUUUUUUUUUUUUCGUAAUAAAAGCAAAGCUACUUUAACAAAAAGUGCUAUAUGUAAGUUUCGAAGUGAAAAUGAAGCAAAAGAUUUUAUAGAAAAAUAUAACAACACAAAUCAGUUUAGUAGUAAAAUAAAAUGCGAAUUUGCAUUAAAACAAAAAACAAGCGAUAAAAAAAUUUAUACAAUUGCAAAUAACAAUAAACAAAUAAACUAUAAAAAUUCGCUUAAAUUAUAUACUAAUGUUGAUAUUGAUAAAAUAACAUUAAUAAAUUAUAUAAGAGAUAUAUUUUAUAUAAAUAAAAAAUCUAUAUUAACUUAUUUUAAUGGAGAUAAUAAUUUGGAAAAACAUGAUAAAACAGUGAAUAAAAAAGAAACUUAUAAUUAUUUAGAGAAAUCGGAUGAUGAUGCUGGUAAUGGUGAUGGUAAUGGUGAUGAUAUUAUAAUUGUCACUGAUAAAAAAUGUAUGGAAUUUGAACAACUUGUGUUAAAUGUAAAAAAGGAACAGAAUGUUAGUAAGUAUGUGAUAAAGGAGUUGAAUAAGGCAGACUCAGUCGAGGGUAACAGGAAAAACAAAAACGACGAUAGUACUGACAUUAAUAACGACAAAAACAAAAACAAACACAGUAAAAACAAAAACGAAAACAAACAAAGUAAAAACAAAAACGACACUAUAACUGUAAGCAGCAAUACCAUUAAUGACUACUUUGUGUAUGUCGUUGAGUUUUUAAAUUUAGGUAUAGCAGUUGAGUUUUCCAAAUAUAUAAAUAAAGAAAAUUUUACCGACUUUAUAAAAAACAAAGUACCUGAAAUAAAAUCCCAUAUUUUAUUUCAUCAUGAAAUAUGUUAUAUAAAUAUAGCAAAUAAAAUUGUUUUUAUUAAAAAUUUACAUAGAACAUGCCAUAUUGAAAACAUUACUAAAUUUUUUAAACACAUUGAAAAAAGCGUUAAAGUUAUUAUACCUAAAAAAAAUGAUAAAAAACAGGGGUAUGCAAUUGUUUUUUUUUCAAAUUACUCAAAUGCACAAAAGGCCUUACGCUUAAAUGGUACUAAACUAUGUGGACAAAGCGUAACUAUUCAAGUUGAUGAAAAACUCACCAAACUUACGUCUUUAAAUAAAUCAUCUGUUAAAAAAGAUAAUAUAAAGAAUGUUAAAAAGGAAAAUGGGGUAACGGGUACGAUAAAAGAAAAUGUAAUAAGCGAAAAAAUAGAUAAGUUGUCAGAUUCGGAUAGAGCAACUAGCUCAGAUGGUGAUGGUUCAGAUGGUGAUGAUGCAAAUUCGGAUGGAGCAACUGGCUCAAAUUUUGACGGAACAAGUCAAGUAUCCAAUGAAGAAAAUAUCUUUCCAAAGAAUAAUAAAAAAAGUUACGACAAUAAAAGUGAUACAAUUACUCCUCGUAGAAAUGAUGCAAGUGAUGGACAAACAUUAUUCAUAACAAACAUGCCAACAGAAACCAGCGAUGAAGAAAUUAAAGAAUACGUAGUAAAAAAUAUAAGUAAACAUUAUAUAUAUAUAAAAGCUUGCAGAAAUAAUGAUAAAGCAUUAUCAGUGUUUGUAAAAUUACGAUAUAAAACUGAUGCAGAUAAUUUUUUAAAAAAAAUUGGUGAAUAUGAGGAAGAUGAAAAUGACAAUAAUAAUGAAAAUAAUGAAAAUGUUAUUGACAGCUAUUAUAACAAAAAACAAAAUAAAGAAAAAUUUAAACAGAUUUUAAUAAAAGGUGAUAAUAAAAUUAUUCAAUCAGAUAUUUUAUUUUAUAAAAAUAAUUAUUUAAUGAUCAAAAGGGCUGUUAAUAAAGAUGAAAUAAAAGAUAAAAAAAAAAUGAUUUCAAAAGAAAAAAAAAAAAAAGAAAAAAAAAUUAAUAAUAAUAUUCAUUUGAUAAAUGAUAACAAUAUCAAUAAUAAGCAUUUAUCUGAUCAAAUUAUAAAAAGGAAUAAUAAAUUAAUGGAAAAAAAAAAAGAUAUUUUAAAAAAUAGAAAUUUCGUUAUAAAUCCAUGUCGAAUUUAUAUACGAAAUUAUCCAAUCCAGUUAGAAAAAAACGUUUUUCGUCAAAUGGUUUUAAAAUAUUUUACACCGAUAAUUAUAGAAAAAGAAAAAUUAAAAAAAAAAGAAGCAUUCAAAAUUGCAAAUACAAUUAUUAAAAAAAUGAAAAUAUUAACUAAUAGUGUAAAAAAUUCAGAAAUGAUUGAAAAUUUUGAAGAUAAAAAAGAAAAGAAGAGUAACAAAGCUCUUAUUUGUUUUAUUGACGUUGAUAAACAUGAACAUGCGAAAAUGUUAAUUAAUUUAUUACAAAAUAAAAAUCUCAUGGAGUUAGUUAAUAAAAUACUUUACAAAGGAACUAUAAAAACCACACAAAAAAAUAAGUAUAUAACGUACGUAGAUUAUUGUAUAGAAGAUAUGAGGAAGGUUCAUAUUAAAAAAAUUAAAGAAGAAAAAUUUCUUAAUCUUAUUAAAGAAAAACAUGGUAUUAUACCUACUCAAAAACAUAUCAAAAAAAAAAAAAAAAUAAAUAAAAUAUCGAGAGGAAAAAAACAAAGAGAAAAAAGGAGAUUAUUAAGAAUGCAAAAAGAAAAUAAAAAUAAUGUAUAUAUGUUUCACCAAGUUCCGUUGAAAAAAGAUAAUAACAACCAUAUUAAUAACGAUCAUACUAGUCAUAGCACUAGUAACAAUAUGUAUACCAAAGUAGUAAACGACCCCAAACACAACAUAUCACAAAACAUAAAUAAGGAACAUAUAACAAGUUUGAAAAAUGAAAAAAAAACAAUUAGAAAAAAUAAAAAAAGUGCAGACCCAGAAAAUUUUUCAAAUAAAAAAAGAAAAACAAUACAAAAUAAAGUUUUAGAUUCUAAAGAAAUUGAUGCAAUUAAAAAGGAUGUUAAAAAAUUUAUGAAGAAUAUUGUCCCAUAA
RNAcentral lists this long non-coding RNA (3015 nucleotides) under Piliocolobus tephrosceles (Ugandan red Colobus). RNAcentral describes it as "lncRNA (ENSPTEG00000015369.1)". The record is from RNAcentral. Lineage: Eukaryota; Metazoa; Chordata; Mammalia; Primates; Cercopithecidae.